GCAUCGGUGGUUCAGUGGUAGAAUGCUCGCCUGCCACGCGGGCGGCCAGGGUUCGAUUCCCGCCGAUGCA
Molecule: transfer RNA, 70 nt
Filed under: Cordylochernes scorpioides
Lineage: Eukaryota; Metazoa; Arthropoda; Arachnida; Pseudoscorpiones; Chernetidae
Description: tRNA-Gly
Rfam family: tRNA
About the family: Transfer RNA (tRNA) molecules are approximately 80 nucleotides in length. Their secondary structure includes four short double-helical elements and three loops (D, anti-codon, and T loops). Further hydrogen bonds mediate the characteristic L-shaped molecular structure. tRNAs have two regions of fundamental functional importance: the anti-codon, which is responsible for specific mRNA codon recognition, and the 3' end, to which the tRNAs corresponding amino acid is attached (by aminoacyl-tRNA synthetases). tRNAs cope with the degeneracy of the genetic code in two manners: having more than one tRNA (with a specific anti-codon) for a particular amino acid; and 'wobble' base-pairing, i.e. permitting non-standard base-pairing at the 3rd anti-codon position.
Source: RNAcentral